AAUGCAAGUAAAGAUAAUGAACAUAAUGUGAUUCUAAGAACGAAUUAGCGAUACAAUAGUGCCAUUAGUGAUAAUGAUAGCGAUGAAAGAACUGCAGAUACGAUUAAUUGCUAUAUAUGAAUUUGAGGAAAUGUUUAUUUCAAACACCGAAGCGCCAAAUGUUUGCUGAAAAGUUAUGCACUUUUAUAUCUCAUAAAGAUCAUAGAAAACUCACGAAGAAUCGCGUCUUUUAAGAGUCGACGGACGAAUGAAUUCACGCGCGUUUCUCAACAGUUCAUUAGAUUACAUGGAGAAAUAUAUAUACAUAAACGAUUGUCAUGCAUCUGCCGAUGAACGUUAUUCUGUUGCUACAUUUGUAAGUACGUUGCUUCCUUUUUAAUAACACCGAGUGUCUGCUGAGUGCGGCAAAUAUAAUAACAAUAUCUCAAUUGUUUUCCAUUUAAGAUUUGAUGAAAUAAGCGGCGAAUGAAA
Molecule: unclassified non-coding RNA, 471 nt
Filed under: Bombus terrestris (buff-tailed bumblebee)
Lineage: Eukaryota; Metazoa; Arthropoda; Insecta; Hymenoptera; Apidae
Description: misc RNA ENSBTSG00005033704.1
Source: RNAcentral